This 118-nucleotide ribosomal RNA is filed under the name uncultured bacterium. RNAcentral describes it as "partial 16S ribosomal RNA". It matches the Rfam family "Bacterial small subunit ribosomal RNA", at positions 1367 to 1482 of the family's 1533-position model. The record is from RNAcentral.
UACGUUCCCGGGUCUUGUACACACCGCCCGUCACACCACGAAAGUCGGCAACACCCGAAGCCGGUGGCCUAACCCGCAAGGGAGGGAGCCGUCGAAGGUGGGGCCGGCGAUUGGGGUG